Molecule: long non-coding RNA, 1269 nt
Filed under: Cyanistes caeruleus (blue tit)
Lineage: Eukaryota; Metazoa; Chordata; Aves; Passeriformes; Paridae
Description: lncRNA (ENSCCEG00000021347.1)
Source: RNAcentral
UGGAGAAGAGAAAAGCCAUGAUUCAAUUAUAAACAUGAAUACAGCCCAAAACACGUCUUAUCAAGCUGUUACACAAGCAGUUCUGGACUCAGUGAGAUUGCUGGUCAGCCUUCAUUGAAGACUCUCUGCUGCUUUUUCAAGGUACAAUUUAAGCCCAUUUAAGCAUUUUUCAAAGUCUUUCUGCACAGACCACUCUUUUCUCUCUUCUCAGAACAAACUCAAAAGUGUCAUCUGGAUGUCACUGCUGUGACCCAUCCCCUGGACCUGGGCAUGGAGGAAGGGGUGACAUUUUACUCUGUUUUGCCUUGUCCCACUGCUGCCAGCCAGGACAGCCACCAAACACCUUGGGUUUGGUUUGAUGGAUCUCCUUCCAGGCAGCUUUCUGCCUGCUGCUCUGGGGAUCUAGAGGUACUGGAACAGAAGAAUCACCCAGAUGUCCCACAGCCAAAGGGUCUCUCAUGCAUUGUCCUGGAAUGCUUCCAUGUUUGGAUCCACUCAGGAGGAUCUCUGAGCUUUGCCAGGAAUGGAAGACUGGGAACUUAACACAUCAAGAAGAAAUUAAAAAUAGAGAAAUGGCUUCGCUGAAGAUACCAACAACCAUCCAUUAGUCCAAAGAAAAGAAUAUCUGAAGUUUUCUUUAUAAAUUAAACUGAAGGUUAUCUUCCAGCUCUUUAGUGAAGUUUGAUACUUCAUCAGAAGGAAAAUUAACAUGCUCAUCAGCCAGUCCAGAUUCUUAGGUGGUGUGGAGAGCUGUGUGAGAUCAUAUCCUCAGCAAAACUAUGGAAUGCUAGGAAGCGAAUCAGGAGAGCCAAUUCCUAACUCUCAUUUUAACGAUGGGGUGCCUCAUGUUAGUCAUGAAAUGUAAGCAAAUAAUAGGUGUUGCUGAAGGGCUGCUCUUACACUAUUGGCUCUUCCCUCUGAAAGAUUAAAGCAGGAGAGAACCAUUCCUUUAAGUUUUAAAUACAUUGAUUCUCUACAUAUUUCAGCUGUUUUGUGAUGGCAAAUACAUCAAAAUCUUAUUUUUUGAAUGUAUUUUGAAGAACAAGGGCAGAGCCUUCAAAUUCAAAGACUGGAGAAGGGUGACUGACCAGGUUUUUGUAACACUCUGCUCCCAUGUCCAUCUCUCAGGUACUUGUUCCACCUUCAUAUUUCACUUACUCUCCUUGUACAGAGAGGAAAACGACACAACACAAACCAAAGAGGUCACUGUGCUCCUAUAAGGGGUGUUUAGUCACUAAUAAUGUAGAAUAAAUUUUUUAAAAUCAUGCA